CGAGCUAUCAUGGCCGUGAGGUUACGGGUUUCGCCUUGUAAGCGUAAGGUGAUGGGUUCGAAUCCUGUCUGGCUCGG
RNAcentral lists this transfer RNA (77 nucleotides) under Culex quinquefasciatus (southern house mosquito). RNAcentral describes it as "tRNA-Thr". Lineage: Eukaryota; Metazoa; Arthropoda; Insecta; Diptera; Culicidae. The record is from RNAcentral.